Molecule: long non-coding RNA, 2114 nt
Organism: Apteryx rowi (Okarito brown kiwi)
Lineage: Eukaryota; Metazoa; Chordata; Aves; Apterygiformes; Apterygidae
Source: Ensembl
AAAAUGUAGCAAAUAAGGGAGGUUCCCUUUGUUUAUGCAUUUGAUAUGUAUACAAAAAAAUAUUAAUUGCUGCAAAUAUCUAUACUGUGUAGAGUCUGCUUUUUUUCAUACAGGGGAAGAAGAAAAAAAUGUUUUGGGUGUGGGUGUUCUUUGUGAAGUAUAGAAAACAAUGCUUAAGUGAUUUAAAGGAGAGCGGCAAAAUUUAGCACUCUGAUAGACACAAUUAAUUGAUGAUUGAGCACAGACUCAAUGAUAUUUUCAGUGGUGGAUAUGGCUGUCAUAGUGGGUUAUGUUCCAAGAGCGCCUGCAAGAUGAACCUGUUGGAAAGCCUUGGAGCCAAAAAUAUUUUUUUAAAGUGUCUUGUUAAUAUUGGCUAACAGAAUGGAUCGUAUACAGAAUAGAUAAAAUCAUAUCAACCUUUUAAAACAAAUGACUAAAAACUCACAGUAAUUUAUUAGCUACCAAACAUUUUGUAGGGAUUUCUUUUAAACACAGAAUAGUUUUUCUAGUGCCUUGUAUUUCUGCCAACUUUGGUAGAAAGKUUCAAAGAAUGUGCAGCAAACUGAUACGAUCCUUUAAAUUCUAUUCACCCCUUUGGCACAAAAGCUAUAAGUGUUCUCAAGGCAGAUUCAUGCAUGCCUAAAGAUGGGAAUAGGUUCAAAUAUGUGUGUUAAGUUACAGUGUCAUGCAAUACAUUCUUUAGAUACCUCCAAUUUAUUUAUUGGUGUUAUCAGCACAUCUGUUCUUAAACAGAACUCUUUUAGAGAGGUAACCUUAUCACCUAACAAAGAAAUUAUGRCCCCCAAAUCCUGUCCCCUCUCAAUCAAUCAAUUGCAUGUUUGCUUGUCCUGAUAAUACACUCCCAACAUUGCUGCAUAGUGUUCCAGCAGGACGUGAGAGCUAUCGAGACUUGAUUUUUUUAUUAAAAAUAGUAGCAGAAAAAAUAUCAUGCUGGAUUUCUUUUUCAUUGAGAAAAAUGAGUGAAAAAGACAUGACAUUUGCUAUUUCUUUAGCAGGUUCCUUUUUCUUUUCAGUUCAGUUGAGUCCUUACCUCUCCUUUCUACACAAGAAAAUCAGACGUGCCAGGACUACAAGACCGACAGCUCCAAAUACACAGCCAAGCAGGAUUAUUUGCUUGACAUCUGCAAAAAAAAAAGAAAGCAACCACAACAAAACAGGUUGCAGAGUACCAGUGGGGCAGUUCUAUCACUUCCCUACCGAUGUAGGAGAGUGACAGCAGGCUUCUGUAUGGCUGUGGUGAGUAACAGAAGCUAAAGAUAUCAUGAAGGUAAAUUUUGGAUGACAUGUAAGAAGACUGGUAAAAUUUUAGGAGAUUUAGUAUCUUGAGUGAAUUGUCUGGCAGAACAAAUGCUUCCUGAAUUUUAUGUCCCACUUAAGAAAGGAAAAUACCAGCCAGAGCACUACCUCUGAAAAACUGAGAGUCCCAGUGUGAGCAACGUUUGUCCCACGCUCAGUGCCAAAGGGCCAAACAGCUGUGUAGUCCCUUGUCUCUGAGACACUGUAGUAUCCUAAGGUGGAACUAGAUUCAAGACUCUGCCCUGUUUGUUCACCUGUCAAUAGCACUGUCUGCAUGUAUCAGGGAGCAUGUAGUCUGUUUGGAGACAGAUGAGCAGUGGUGCAUCUGAGCUCUAACAUCCCUUUUUGCCUGCUUCUCCAUUGCUUUGUCAUGUCUGCAGGAAGGACUGCCCAAGCUACAGCCUAGCACACAGUGAUGGCAGAGUGAUGUAAUUUACAAUUCUGUGAACCUAGAAUAGGUAACUUGCCUCAUACUGAAGUUUAAGGAAGGAAGUGAGAUAGAUAAACUAUUUCACAGACAUUAAUGCUUCAUCCAGUAACCUUUGUACCAGGCCCAAUAAUUUAUGCUUGACUCAAACACCACCGUACAGACAGGUACCCUGUCUCUGUCAAGCAAUAAGAACCCACCACUGGUCUUGGUAGUUUGGUCCAGUGGUGAAUUGUCUGUAUUGUGAAAACUUUGUAUUAUUUCAUUUCUAAUUUCAAGUAAUCUGUCUUCAUUGUUACAUGUUUUGCAGUCAUUCUCCUGGAAACCAUAGAUAAAUAAAAAUUUCAUAGUAAAUCUGCCUGAUGUUUCU